Molecule: ribosomal RNA, 432 nt
Filed under: uncultured bacterium
Lineage: Bacteria
Description: partial 16S ribosomal RNA
Rfam family: Bacterial small subunit ribosomal RNA
Source: RNAcentral
CCUACGGGUGGCAGCAGUGGGGAAUUUUGCGCAAUGGGCUAACGCCUGACGCAGCAACGCCGCGUGGAGGAUGAAGGUCCUUGGAUUGUAAACUCCUGUCAGCAGGGAAAUUGUACCUGCAGAGGAAGCCCCGGCUAACUCUGUGCCAGCAGCCGCGGUAAUACAGAGGGGGCAAGCGUUAUUCGGAAUUAUUGGGCGUAAAGGGCGCGUAGGCGGCUUGGCAAGUGGAAGGUGAAAUCCCUCGGCUUAACCGAGGAACUGCCCUCCAAACUGCUUCGCUUGAGACCGGGAGAGGUGAGUGGAAUUCCCAGUGUAGCGGUGAAAUGCGUAGAUAUUGGGAGGAACACCAGUGGCGAAGGCGGCUCACUGGACCGGACUGACGCUGAUGCGCGAAAGCGUGGGGAGCAAACGGGAUUAGAUACCCUUGUAGUC